GCUUCCGAUAGCUCAGCUGGCGAGAGCAUGCUGCUGCUAACACCAAGGUUGCAGGUUCGAUCCCCGUACGGGACAGCA
This 78-nucleotide transfer RNA is filed under the name Podarcis lilfordi (Lilford's wall lizard). RNAcentral describes it as "tRNA.Ser". It matches the Rfam family "tRNA". Rfam says of the family: Transfer RNA (tRNA) molecules are approximately 80 nucleotides in length. Their secondary structure includes four short double-helical elements and three loops (D, anti-codon, and T loops). The record is from RNAcentral. Lineage: Eukaryota; Metazoa; Chordata; Lepidosauria; Squamata; Lacertidae.